ACUACGGGCGGCAGCAGUGGGGAAUAUUGCGCAAUGGGCGAAAGCCUGACGCAGCGACGCCGCGUGAGGGAUGAAGGUCUUCGGAUCGUAAACCUCGGUCAGCAGGGAAGAACGGUCACUGUGCUAAUCAGCAGUGAAUUGACGGUACCUGCAAAGGAAGCACCGGCUAACUCCGUGCCAGCAGCCGCGGUAAUACGGAGGGUGCGGGCGUUACUCGGAUUUACUGGGCGUAAAGCUCUCGUAGGCGGUAUGUCAGGUCCAGGGGGAAAUCCCCGCGCUCAACGUGGGAACUGCCUGUGAAACUGGCAAACUGGAGUGUGUGAGAGGAUAGUGGAAUUCCAGGUGUAGGAGUGAAAUCCGUAGAUAUCUGGAGGAACAUCAGUGGCGAAGGCGACUAUCUGGCACAUAACUGACGCUGAGGAGCGAAAGCGUGGGUAGCAAACAGGAUUAGAUACCCCAGUAGUC
RNAcentral lists this ribosomal RNA (465 nucleotides) under uncultured bacterium. Its description in RNAcentral is "partial 16S ribosomal RNA". It matches the Rfam family "Bacterial small subunit ribosomal RNA", at positions 338 to 795 of the family's 1533-position model. The record is from RNAcentral.